Molecule: long non-coding RNA, 3692 nt
Organism: Dermochelys coriacea (leatherback sea turtle)
Lineage: Eukaryota; Metazoa; Chordata; Testudines; Dermochelyidae
Exons: 2
Source: RefSeq, a predicted model, not a curated record
UACCAAGUCACUUAUUUACACAUUUGUUACUUUUUGCCUUUGUUAUAGUCUCUCCUCUAUGGCUUCCCAAAAUCACACCUAUCCCAAGUCCAUCCUGCUUAGAACUCUGCAGCAUGCCCUUUCAUCCAUUCAUACCAAUGUCACAUCAUGCCCAACCUGAAAGACUUCCACUAGCUCCUUAAUCACUACAAAAAUUAAUUUAAUUGUACCAAGACUCUGCAUUGCAAUACUCCAUUUACCUCUGUGAAUUCAAUUGCUUUCUUUGCUCUACUAGUUGUGACGACCUUUCAGACCUCAGCUCCCGCUUUUGGCAGAGGUUGUUCCUUUUCUGUUGCUUCACUGGUUAUUUGGAACACAAAAUCCACCUCCUUUCCUACCCCAGUUCUAGUCUCCACCUUUUCUCAAAAUGCAACUCAGAGCCUCCUAUUCUGUAUUACCAACAUCUGAGUAGUUAUUGGUCAGUUCCGUCAUGCCAGUACUUAGUAUUACCCAUGACUGGGGUAAGAAAAUCUGAAGCAGUCUGCAAACCUUUUUGAUUUAACCCUCCAGAUGCAACAUUCUUUCUCUAGCUCUUUCCCUCCCUCUAUUUCAGCCCCAAUUCCUGAGCCAGUUGGAUGCAGAAAAGGGAUCAGGUGCAACACGGCAUGAGGAACAGAUAACACAUAGAAAACUGAUGUGUGGUUGCAGAAUUUUAGGGGAAUCUGACUCUCAUUGUUGCUGCUUAUGGCACACUCACCUGCUUCUGGCAGUUUUCUUGGUUAAAAAUCUGAUCAGCAGAACUGAUGGGCUAAAAUUAUUUUGAUUUGUCAAAAAUUGGAGGCCAUUUACCCAAUGUACGUCAUGAAAGAAAUUAAUAUAAUUUUUGGAAAACUAGAUUGAUCAGUUUGAUAGGGUGUUAUCCCUUUAAGAGGAAGGGGGUGCUGGGAACCCUAUCCAAUAUAUAAAAUAAGAGAAUUAACAGAUUGGAGGGAGUCUGGGUCAAGGUCUGAUAAGAUAUGAAGGUACUGCAGUAUGGGAUGCAGGCCUCUGUGAAGGGAGCCUGGUCUGGAGGUGCAGGUUAUAUCUAAGUUGUUGGGUUUUUUAAUUGUUGCUAUUAAACUGGGAUUUGCUCUUCUAUUUCUUGAGUCCUUCCAUUUCUUACUCUGGGAUGCAUGUGACCGUACAUCACAAUUAUUAAUCGGUGACCUAUGUGGAAGAAAUUUCAGAGUUCAAAUUUCAGAUUUUUUUCUGUAUUCAGCAGCCCUGAAUUAACAAGUAUACUAAAUAUCCAGACUCUAGCCAAAGUGUCUUUAAUUGAUUAAAAUCAUGUAAGACUGAUUACCUUUUGAUGACCCCUGCUGGAAAGGGUGAAAUUGAAAUCUGAGAUCAUUUUAUUAGUACUCAUUGGCUCUGUCACCCUGUCUGGAGUGGUUCACAACUAUGAGUGACAACCUCAGGGCAGAGUGUCAAAAAGCAGGGCAAACACCUCAAACUGUUGAUAUGUUCUAUAAGUAGAUUUCAUCAACCCAGCAACAAAUGUUAACUCAUGAAGCACUAUAACAGACUGACCAUGGAGUCACAGAUUUCAGUGUACCUUGCCACCCAGGCAAGCUGGACUUAGUGAUAAAUGGUCAUUUACACCAAAGAUCACAAAAUAUCCAGGUUGCUCCCAGUCCCAAGUGACCAGUCUCUUACCUCAGGUCAAUUUGUACUUUAGAUCUCCCCCAAAGAAACUAUGAGUGACAACCUCAGGGCAGACUGUAGCCAAUCCUGUAAUAAACUAACAAAAGGUUUAUUAAGUAGGAAAAAGCAAUAAGAGUUAUUUACAGGUUGAAGCUGGCAACAUAUAUAUACAUAUGAAUUACCAUCUGUGGUUCCAAAAGGUGACAGAGAUGUAAUGUCAGCACGGAAUGUCUUUUAGGGCUAAUCCAGGUUGACCACAGGGAUCUCUUCUUUUUUUUCCCUAGCCCCAGCCCUAUCAGAAUUCAUACAGUAAAUCUCAUGUCAGAGACCUUUAUUUCCUUCUUCCUUCUUCUUAGCUUGAUGGGAGAAGCUUCCUUGCACAUCGCACCUUUACAGGUGUGAGAGGGCCAUUAGCCUGUUCUUUUAUCGUGAUUCUUCACAAUGGCCCACUUAGUUUUGAUAGUCCUCCUUGAGGGGUGGGAGAACCACUUCUCUUGCCUUAGUUCACAAGUUCAGAGCAGGCAUUUUUACAGUUAUAAAGCAAAACUUACAUAUUACCUUAUUGCAUGGGAUAGAUCCAUUACAAGUAAGAUUAAUAUAUACAGCAACUUACAAGCAUUUUAUAGAGUCUAAACACAUCCUUAUAAUGCCAAAAAAGUUCUCUAGAUUAAUGAGUGUGAAAAUAUUUUGAUUUCAGAAAUAUUCUCUAGUAUGUAAAAUGUGGUCAGUUUAUUUUUAUUUUUAGAGUAUCAUUUUUAAUUAUGAUAGGAGAAAAAAAUCCACAGAUUUUUCAUCUCACACUGUAGUUAGUGUAUGUAAAGCAAUAUCUUUAUUUAUGAAAAUAAAUCAUGAAUACAGAAUUCAUUUUAUAAAAAUACUAACUCAAAACUAUUCCAAACAAAAUUUAGAUAAAACUUGUACAUUCAAAUUAAACAUUAAAUUUAUAUAAUUAUUUAUUAUUAUUCUAAUAUAAUAUUUAUAUUGCAGUAGUGCGAAGACUUAGGAUCAGAGCUCCAUUAUGCUAAUUUCUGUACAAACAGAUACGAAGGCAUAGUCCCUGUCCAAAGAGUUUACAAUCUAACAUAGUUUGACAAUAAAUAUUACUCUGGAAUUAUAUAAAAUAUGUACAUUCUGUUUCCACAAUAAAUAUGUUGACAUAAAUAUACAGUUGUUGACAUAAAUAUAUUGUAACAGUGGUUUUCAGCCUUGGGUCUAAGAUUUCCAAAGGGGUAACACCUCAAUUCGAAAUUUUUUAGAGGUCCACAAAUGAAUAAAGAUUGAAAACCAUUGUGCUAUGACAUUGAUACAAUAAAUAUACUGAGCCAUAAUGGGUGCCAUAAAAAUGCAGUUGGGCCCUGAUUCAGGAAAGUACAUUGACAGCCAUGGGAGUGACAUGUAAGUAUUUUCUGAAGUGCUUUUGUGAUUUGAGGCUGUAAUGAUUAGGACAGUUUUUAUUAUCUGUUUUCAAAGAUGUCAACAGACAGAACUCUGAAUUCUACCAUCUAAUAUGCAUUUUAAAUAAUUUUCAUACACAGGAUUUAAUUUUGACUGUUUAAAAAGAUACUAAAUACUAUAAUACCUCAUGAAAGAAUAAGAUGGAAUUCAUUAUUUUAGUUGCCCCUUUCAUUCUGCAACAUAGUUUGAAUGCUAUGGCUUUAUAUAAGUAUAAAGGCACCCUCUAAAAUAAAUAAAUAAAUGCACUAUAAAUUUAAGUUACAAACAUUUGGUAUGUUUUCGAUAUUCACGUUAACGUUGUGUGUGUCUUUAUGUAUUUCCAUGGUAAUUUUGCAGUAUUUUUUCUUAAUACUUAAUAAUGUUACCUAAACCAUACAUCCAACUAGAAUGGGUUGCUCGUCUCAGUUCAUUGGGAUUUAAUGCAAUUAAAUUCAUUCAGUCUUUCAAAGAACUUUUUAUAGAAGGGCAAUGCCCUCUUCAGUCCUGCUUCUUUUGUCUCACAGCGUUUAGACGAAUUUACCUAGAAAAAUUAAAGAGUUAAUAUUUGUGCUGGCUAUAAACAGUCAACAUUUUUU